RNAcentral lists this long non-coding RNA (216 nucleotides) under Lathyrus oleraceus (garden pea). RNAcentral's name for it is "Pisum sativum (pea) long non-coding RNA (PSAT_LNC039774)". Lineage: Eukaryota; Viridiplantae; Streptophyta; Magnoliopsida; Fabales; Fabaceae. The record is from RNAcentral.
AAGAAAAAAUAGAAUUUAUCUUGUUAAAAUACUCUUUAUCGAAGGCCUUAAACAAUUUUUAUUGAAUGAUAAUUAGUUUCAGAAUUAAUAUAAAGAAUUUUAACUAUUUAUGAUGUCAACAAUUAUAAUUAUAGAGGAAUAAUAAAGAUUAAAUGAAAUUCCAAUCAACAGGCAUGAAUUCAAUGAUUAUGGAUCAUCAACCUUCACACUCUCGCC